RNAcentral lists this ribosomal RNA (497 nucleotides) under uncultured bacterium. Its description in RNAcentral is "partial 16S ribosomal RNA". It matches the Rfam family "Bacterial small subunit ribosomal RNA", at positions 28 to 507 of the family's 1533-position model. The record is from RNAcentral.
GAUGAACGCUGGCGGCGUGCCUAAUACAUGCAAGUCGAGCGAACAGACGAGGAGCUUGCUCCUCUGACGUUAGCGGCGGACGGGUGAGUAACACGUGGAUAACCUACCUAUAAGACUGGGAUAACUUCGGGAAACCGGAGCUAAUACCGGAUAAUAUAUUGAACCGCAUGGUUCAAUAGUGAAAGACGGUUUUGCUGUCCCUUAUAGAUGGAUCCGCGCCGCAUUAGCUAGUUGGUAAGGUAACGGCUUACCAAGGCAACGAUCCGUAGCCGACCUGAGAGGUGAUCGGGCCACACUGGAACGGAGACACGGUCCAGACUCCUACGGGAGGCAGCAGUAGGGAAUCUUCCGCAAAGGGCGAAAGCCUGACGGAGCAACGCCGCGUGGUUGAUGAGGGUCUUCGGAUCGUAAGACUCUGUUAUUGGGGAAGAACAAAUGUGUAAGUAACUAUGCACGUCUUGACGGUACCUAAUCAGAAAGCCACGGCUAACUACGUG